AGCCGACAGUUCCGUGAUGUUACUUUGAAGAGAAGCUGCACGAGCCGUGGAACGAAAAAAAAAAGACGCGAAAAAAGUGUUGCUGCUUAACUACUGAAACUGUUCCGGGAGAAGGAAACUUGUAGCGGCAAUGCACCAACCGCCAUUAAACCUCAAAAAACGAGGGAACUUUAAAAAAAGAAGAGAAAGAAAAAAGUUAACUACCCCGGCAUGACGUCAGACGCCGAAAAGGUGGCCGCGUGCAUCAGCUCCUGUAUAAAAACGCAGCAAAGGCGCUCCAGGAUGGCGUGUUCGACCUGGUCCAGAUUAGUGGCCUGUCCAGAAUGGAACAACCUGCUUCCUGCUCACGGAGACCUGGUCUGACUCGCCAUAUACAAAAGCCUGAGGCUGUCAAAAAAAGAUUGAUCUUCAUGAAGACUGUCAAAUAGUAAGGUGUCAUAAUUUAAUUCUGGGUGGCCGCCGUGUCCCCACUCUUUCUUGGCCGCUAUGCCUCCACUCUUUCUUGGCCGCUGUGCCUACAUCUCUCUGCAUUGUCCAACAUGGCCACGUUCUUUCUUUUCUCCUGCUUUCCAUCUGUCAAAUAGCUGAGUGUUGUACAUGGAGCAUUUGCCACAGGUUGGUUUUGUAUGUUCCUGUCCACCUUAUUGGGUGGUCCUAAAUCUGGUCCUUGUUGGUUAUAUUUUUGUGGAACUGCUGAGCGAGUGAUUUGAAAGAAUGAGGUGACUGAUGGAGUGUUUGAAAUUCUCUCUCUAAAUGAAUGGGUUGUGUGUGUGACUGAGAUGCCUGUAUUGAAUAGUUAAGAUGGUCUGAGAAUAUGAUGAUGUUCAGCAGUUCAUGUUAAAGUAGAUAUGGUGUCUUGAAGGGCCUAGAUGCUUGAUACGUCAUAAUGCACUAACAUUUCCUUUUUAGGUCUGUCUACAAAGGGUGAGUCCAUAUUUUUUUAUUUCUUCUCUGGGGGCUACUGUCUUGGCCUCCAUUUACAUGCAAAGGUAAGAACACGCCUCUCUGUGGAGGCGUUUUCUUGCCUUACCACUCUACCUUUUAAAUACUUUUUCUUUCAAACUGUUUCUUAGGACGGUAAGUGACACGCAGGCCGCGGGCCAUCGCUCUUCCGACCGCCGUGUCGAUCUGUCCUGGCCCUCCUCGAGCCAUUCCUCACUUCUAAAAGGAAAAUAUCAACUUGAACUGUUUUCUUUAGCAUUUAAAUAUAGUGAUGUUGGAGGACCAGAUCUUAAAUGAGGUUUAAAUGGAUGGUGGUGUACAGUUAAAGCUAGAUGGUAGGAAUAAAAUUAAUCUUGUGCCUACACUCUGUCACAAGGAUUAGACUUCUUGGCCGCUGUGCCUUUUUUUUCUUCUCUUUUCCAUCGUGGCCAUUAAUCUACCGUUAGCCUUAGCACGUUAAAAUAGAUCCUGGUGAUCUACAAACACAGCACCUGGCUUUGGAUGGCAGCUUUGCCUUUGGUUUUGCCAUACGUCCUUUAAUGCAAGUAGUCCACGAUGGCCACUGUGCCCGUGCCUUCAUGGCCUAUUUGUAUUAUUGUACGUCUGGCUUGCGCGUAUAGUCAUUUUACAUAGACAAACAUGGGUGCCUUCCGCGUCCAUGCACAGUAAGUGAACUAACCUGUACUUUCCUUCUAGCAUCAGUCAAGAGGAGCACCGACAUCACUGCAUGUCCAUCUUAAUUAGAUCGCGUUUUAGUUAAUGUAAAAUUUCAUGUUAAGUGCAGUUUUUCUUUCUUGCUUGGCCGCUGUGCCAUUACUAUACCUGCUCUGACCUGAAUCUUGAUUCUUCAUGGCCACUGUGUCAUGACUGUACUUGGUCUUUAUGCCAGUCUAUAAUUUCUGAUCUGUUUUUCCUACUAAGUUUUCGUGUGUGUGUGUGUGUGAG
This is a long non-coding RNA of Solea solea (common sole), 1887 nucleotides long. RefSeq lists it as uncharacterized. The record is from RefSeq and is a predicted model, not a curated record. NCBI's taxonomy places the organism in Eukaryota, Metazoa, Chordata, Actinopteri, Pleuronectiformes, Soleidae. The transcript has 3 exons.